CAGCAGCCGCGGUAAUACGUAGGUGGCAAGCGUUGUCCGGAGUUAUUGGGCGUAAAGAGGUCUCAGGGCGGUUUCUUAAGUCUGAUGUGAAAGCCCCCGGCUCAACCCGGGGAGGGUCAUUGGAAACUGGGGAACUUGAGUGCAGAAGAGGAGAGUGGAAUUCCACGUGUAGCGGUGAAAUGCGUAGAGAUGUGGAGGGACACCAGUGGCGAAGGCGACUCUCUGGUCUGUAACUGACGCUGAGGAGCGAAAGCGUGGGGAGCGAACAGGAUUAGAUACCCUGGUAGUCCACCCCGUAAACGAUGAGUGCUAAGUUGUUGGGGGGUUCCGCCCCUUAGUGCUGCAGCUAACGCAUUAAGCACUCCGCCUGGGGAGUACGGUCGCAAGACUGAAACUCAAA
Molecule: ribosomal RNA, 400 nt
Filed under: Bacillus subtilis
Lineage: Bacteria; Bacillati; Bacillota; Bacilli; Caryophanales; Bacillaceae
Description: bacterial SSU rRNA
Rfam family: Bacterial small subunit ribosomal RNA
Source: RNAcentral